Molecule: ribosomal RNA, 320 nt
Filed under: uncultured eukaryote
Lineage: Eukaryota
Description: partial 18S ribosomal RNA
Rfam family: Eukaryotic small subunit ribosomal RNA
Source: RNAcentral
CCCUUAGAUGUUCUGGGCUGCACGCGCGCUACACUGACGCACGCAACAGGUGCCUGCUCCGAGAGGACUGGGUAAUCAUUUGAGUGUGCGUCGUGAUGGGGAUAGAAUAUUGUAAUUAUUACUCUUCAACGAGGAAUUCCUAGUAAGCGCAAGUCAGCAGCUUGCGCUGAUUACGUCCCUGCCCUUUGUACACACCGCCCGUCGCUCCUACCGAUGGGUGAUCCGGUGAAUAAUUCGGACUGCAGCAGUGUUCAGUUCCUGAACGUUGCAGCGGAAAGUUUAGUGAACCUUAUCACUUAGAGGAAGGAGAAGUCGUAACA